Molecule: long non-coding RNA, 10668 nt
Filed under: Populus trichocarpa (black cottonwood)
Lineage: Eukaryota; Viridiplantae; Streptophyta; Magnoliopsida; Malpighiales; Salicaceae
Description: long non-coding RNA (PTRI_LNC002938)
Source: RNAcentral
UGGUUGAUGGAUUGAGAGUAAGUGAGAGAUUGACCUGUGGAGGGCAUGAUAAGGUAGUUUUUUUGGGUGGUUGGGAUGGCAGAGGAGUGGAGGAGAGAAAGGAUGAAUUGGGUUAUGGAGAGAGGUUGAUGCGGUGGUGGUGGAGUAGCAGGUGGUAUCAGACUUUGAAAGGUUUUACUUUCCAAGCAGUAACCACCUUUUGUAAUAUUGAUUGCAUGGGUGGUCAUGGUGGUUUCUUGUGCCGGCACCGACUUUGUGGCCAUAAUUGGAUGAAGACGGUGGCAACGAGAGGGAAGGAAGGGGAUGAUGAAAGGGGGGAGUGAAUACAGUUAUUGAGAUGAUCAACAAUGGGAGAGCUUUAUUGUGGGUGAUUAACAUAUUUUAACAAUUUAAAUAUUAUAGAAAAAAAUAAUAUAGAUUAUCAGAUUGAAAAACCUACACAACUUUUAAAUUAAAAAACAGAUCUCAAGUAUCGCGAUACCUACUCAUUAUUUAAAAAUUUUCAGAGUCAAGCUAGCUCUAAUCAAACUGUGACAUCAUGUAAAGCAAGUGUUAAAUGAAUAUAAAAACAAAAAAAGAGUAUUGUUAUGAAACUCAAUACAAUAGUUUAAAUUUGACUUGACUUGAUUACUAAGUAUGAGUUUUAAAUUAAAUCAUAUGAAAAUUAUUAUAAUAUUAUUUUUUUCAUUAGGUAGGUCCAAAAAAUAAAAUCAACCCAAUGCUAGAAAAUAAAAUUAAAUAAAUAUUUUAUAUUAAAUGAUGAAAUGAAAAAAAAAACAAUAAAUAAAAAAAGAGGUAAAAAAACUUAAAGAAAAUAAAAACCCCGUAAUAAAGGAUGGGAUUGGAAAGAAAAACCAAAAGAUAAAAAAAAGCCAAAAAACUUUUAUUAUAUUAUAAACAAUACAAAAAUUUAUUUAUCAUCAACCCGAUAUUGAAAUAUAAAAUUAAAUAAAAACCUUAUAUUAAAGGAUAGAAUUGAAAAAUAAAUAGACUAAAUAACCUAAAGAAAAAAAAACCCACAUUAAUGGAUAAAAAAACCCCAAAGAUAAAAAAGGCCAAAAAAACCUAAAUAGCCAAUACAAAAACUCAAAGGCUUGUUACAACAAAGCCUAGGCAUGUGAGCUCGAGGGAGGUCUAAUAGCCUAGUUUUUUUUUUUAUAUAUAAAAAAAUAGAGACAGAUAAGCAAAAUAAUACUAUCAUCUAGGGGUUUUGUGGUCUUUUCAUUAUAGUUUUUUUUUUGUUUAAUUUCAACUUAAUUUAGGGAAAUUUUGUAUUUUAAUAAUUGUUAAAUAUUAAAAAGAAAACCUUGCUAGCAAGCGUCAUGCACGCACCAAAAGGUAGGUGGCCCUCGUGCCUUUCAAGAAAGAGUCGAUCGGUCAUUAAACACCGUUUUUCAUGAUGAUGUUUGAAAUGUCUUGACGCCUCCUAUAUAAUGGGACAUGGUGUGUGCUAAACUCAUUUUCGGUUUGGCAACACUUGCCAGACCCAGAUUAUGUCUGAAUCUGAUAGGCCAAUGAGGUGGACCAGUGCCAGACGCAACAACUUUUGGGUCUGGCUUUGAUCAGACCGAGCGCACCUUCAUAGGGGCGUAUUUGGUGUAGGCACGUGCCAACCUAACGCGCCCGAAAAUAAGAGAAACUUAUACCUAUAUAUUUUUUCUUGAUCCAAUAUUUUAAUACACACACACACAUAAAAAUAUAAUGAUAAAAUAUAUAUACAUCAAUCACUAUGGUCAAUUUUCCCAGAUAUCCCUGGCAUUUGACAAACAUUUUGAGGAAAAUCCCCACCAAGCAAAGGAUGAUCAUUAGUAGACCCAUGUUCAUAAUAGAACUCUACCUUAUCUAUUAACUUCAACAAACCAACAAUGCUAGUGUCAUUAUGCACUAUUGUGAAAAAUAAGGUCUUAUUACAUCAUGACAAAGCAAAAGAAUCAUUAUAAUACAUAAAAUACACAUAUUUUUUACCAAAUUCAACAUUAAUAUUCAGUAAUUAAGGUCCUAAAACACAAUAAAUUUGGAUCAGUAUCAUGUUUCUCAUACACAGCCCCAUCCACAUACUCAACCAAUAGACCCAAUUGACCUUUUCACAGUUCCACCCAUGUGGAAUAUAAAUUUCUUCGACAUAUAUAUGCUAGAAAAAACAUAUUUAAAAAAUAAGGAACCUAAGACCAGUCACAUGUUUUUGAAGGUCCUAGGACUAUAAUAUCUUGUAAAGUUAAUAAUAACCUUUUCUAUUCAUGUGGAAGCUGUGACCUUUCACAUUCGGGACCAUUGGUUAUUUGAUAAACAAAUGUAAGGAAAUUGACAAUGGAUGGCGAAUUAGAUUCUCACCUUUUCACGAAUAUUCAUUCAUUGUUUCUCUUCUCAAGAUUCACAACAUAGUGAAUGAGAGUAAUGGAGCUCACAACUUUAAGCUAACCUUCAUUUCUCAUGUUUCAACUGAUAUUCUCAAAGUUUUUCUCCCAGGGUUAGGUUUUCUUCUUCAUGAUCUUGAGUGUGAGAGAUGAGAGAAUGUGAGAAGAUUAAUUUUGGGUGUGCUGUGAGUUAUAUAUGAUAGUGUAGAGAGAGUAAUGAGUUAAAACGCUUCCACAUCCAAUGGAGCUCUUUAGCUAUAAUUAUAGAGAGCAUGGAUAUAUAUUUUCACCUGGAGCAUUCUUUCCUCAAAUGCCUCUCUACGUACUCAAGCUUUGUGAAUAGUACUCGCUAUACACAUACCGAGUACUGUUGCACUAUCUGGAAUUCAUCAAAGAUCAUACAUCGCAAGGAAGUGAAAGGAAAAACAGUUAGCAUUAAAGUCCAGUCCUGGCACAGCAUAACAAGAUGUAACGAGUCUGUAGUUAAUGUCCUAGAGAUGGAGCAAUCUGGAGCAUGUCAUGGCCCAAGGUGCCAUGCAUGCAUGGCAAGGAAUAUCAUGGGAACAGUGAAGUCGAUACCGCAACAGGCCUCGUAUGCUAACCAAAACCAUAUACACAGUAUGGACGACUCUACAAAUCCAGUGUCUUUGAAAAAGCAGAUGACUUACUGAGCUUGCAAUAUCAAUGAAGCUUCUGUUUUAUUAUUUUCAUGCAGAAACUUGAGCCAAUACAUAGUUUGUGAAGGGUUUAUAAAUGUGUGCCCUAUAAUUUGUUGUGUAAUAAAGACUUCAAGCAUUGAAGUUUUUGUGCCCUAAAUGCAAUUUUCAUUAAGCCUUGUCUCAAAGGUAUGGGUUAAAAUGACUAUAGUUUGAUGGUUAGUGAAUAUGCAUUUUACGAACACCAUUUUUAGAUAGAAACGAAGAAGAAAUGAAGAAAUGAUCAAGAACAUAUUUAUCUUAGAGAGACAUGUAUCAAUUAUCAACACUAGUAUGAGUUCAGUAUGCCAAAAUAAACAAAUAAAAAAUGUACUAAGAAAAAACCAAUGACAACUACAAUGGAAAAAAAUAUAUAUUUGAGCAUGCAUUAAGUUCUUUAAUUUAAUGCAUGUUUGAUCAACCAUUUAACUAGUGAUGAAUUAAUUUUUAAAAGCUUUUUACUAAAUAAAAUAGUUAAUUUUCAAUAUUCCUUUAAAUGAAUACCUUUUUAAUUUCUAUUAUAAUAAAAUAAUUAAUUAAAAAUAUGAAUUUUAAAAAUGAUUAAAAGUAGUUUAUUUUAAAAAAAAUACAUUAAGGACUCUUACUUCACUUAAGAGAAUAUGGAUUUUUUUAGAGAGCUGAAUUUCUAAAAUAAAUUUCUAGCUAUUUUUUUCUUGUUUUUGAUUUCUUUUUUUAAGGACCAGUAAUUAUUUUAUUUAAAUUUAGAUGAAAUCUAAAAAAAAAAAACAACAUAGUGAAUGGAGGGCGAAUUAGAUUAUCACCUUUUCACGAAUAUUCAUUCAUUGUUUCUCUUCUCACGAUUCACAACAUAGUGAAUGAGAGUAAUGGAGCUCACAACUUUAAGCUAACCUUCAUUUCUCGUGUUUCAACUGAUAUUCUCAAAGUUUUUCUCCCAGGGUUAGGUUUUCUUCUUCAUGAUCUUGAGUGUGAGAGAUGAGAGAAUGUGAGAAGAUUUUGGGUGCUGUGAGUUAUAUAUGACGGUGUAGAGAGAGUAAUGAGUUAAACGCUUCCACAUCCAAAGGAGCUCUUUAGCUAUAAUUAUAGAGAGCAUGGAUAUAUAUUUUCACCUGGAGCAUUCUUUCCUCAAAUGCCUCUCUACAUACUCAAGCUUUGUGAACAGUACUCGCAAUACACAUAGUGAAUACUGUCGCACUAUCUGGAAUUCAUCAAAGAUCAUGCAUCGCAAGAAAGUGAAAGGAAAAACAGUUAGCAUUGAAGUCCAGUCCUGGCACAGCAUAGCAAGAUGUAACGUGUCUGUACUUAAUGUCCUGGAGAUGGAGCAAUAUGUAGCAUGUCAUGGCCCAAGGUGCCAUGCAUGCGUGGCAAGGAAUAUCAUGGGAACAGUGAAGUCGAUAUUGCAACAGGCCUCGUAUGCUAACCAAAACCAUAUACACAGUAUGGACGACUCUGCAAAUCCAGUCUUCUUGAAAAGUAGAUGACUUACUGAGCUUGCAAUAUCAAUGAAGCUUCUGUUUUAUUAUUUCCAUGUAGAAACUUGAGCCCAUACAGAGUUUGUGAAGGGUUCAUAAAUGUGUGCCCUAUAUUCUGUUCUGUAAUAAAGACUUCAAGCAUUAAAGUUUUUGUGCCCUAAGUGCAGUUUUCAUUAAGCCCUGUCUCAAAAGUAUGUGUUAAAAUGACUAUAGUUUGAUGGUUAGUGAAUAUGUAUUUUGCGAACACCAUUUUUAGAUAGAAAUGAAGAACAUAUUUAUUUUAUAGAGACAUGUAUCAAUUAUCAACACUAGUAUGAGUUCAGUAUGCCAAAAUAAACAAAUAAAAAAUGUACUAAAAAGAAACCUAUGACAACUACAAUGAAAAAAAAAAUUGUAUUUGAGCAUGCAUUAAGUUCUUUAAUUUAAUGCAUCUUUGAUCCACAUUCAACUAGUGAAGAAUUAAUUUUUAAAUUUUUUUUACUAAAUAAAAUAGUUCAUUUUCAAUAUUCCUUUAAAUGUAUACCUUUUUCAAAUUUCAAUUAUAAUAAAAUUAUUAAUUAAAAAAAUGAAUUUAAAAAAAUGAUUAAAAGUAAUUUAUUUUAAAAAAACACAUUAAGAACUCUUACUUAAGAGAAUAUGAAUUUUUUUAGAGAGCUUAAUUUCUAUUCUAGCUAUUUUAGUUAUAUAUAAAAAAUAGAGAACAUGAAUAUAAAUGAUCGCAAGGAGGUUUUAUACCUAUAAAAAAUAUUUUGUUUUAUUUUUUUUAAUUUCUUUUUUCAAAGACCAGUAAUUAUUUCUUCAAAUUUAGAUGAAAUCUCAAAAAAAAAAAUUUCUCAUAGCAAAAUAAUUCCCACAUCUUAAUUCGGUAAGGUAUGGUAAUUCUAAAAAAAAUAUUAUUAUAAUGAAUUUUUAAAUGAAAAAUAUUUUGAAAAACAACUACUAUCAUAACAUCAAAUAAGUUCUAAAUUGACCAGAAUCACAAUACAAUGCUAGUUUUUAAAUAUCUUUUCAAAAAACAUUUCACUUGAGUAUUUAUCAAAAUAAUAUUUUUUUGAAAAAAAUUAUUUUUAACAUCAACAUAUCAAAAUGAUUUAAAAACAUAAAAAAAUAACUUGAAGUAAAUAAAAAAAUUCAAUAUUUUUCAAAAAUAUUUUUAAAACACAAAAAUAAAAUUAUACUGUUAAUUUAUUUAUGAAGCCUUAAUUUAAUCUAAUCAAUGAAACAAGAAAUUAAAUCCUUUAAAACCUGAUUUGGGGUUGAUGUGGAAUAAAACUCAGGUUAUAGGUUAGAAGAGUUUGAUCCAGUUCAAUCCAAGCCAACUUUAAUUUUUUUUAAAUGAUUUAAAUGAUAUUAUCUCAACCCAAUUUUCUUUGAAAAACAAAAAAAAAAAACCCUCAAUGGCUUAAGGGUCAAGUUUUGAUUCGUCAAUCUUGGAUCAACUGUAUUACACUAUUACUGAGUUAACUCGAGUUUCUCCUUCAAUCAACAAGAUAUUUUUUAUUUAAGUUAAAUCAGUCUUAAGUUGACCGCAGAACUGGUCAGUACUUCCAAUUAUGCUCACCGUCACCGAUGGUAGUGGCGUCCCAAUCCCUAGGUGGCAUAAUGAUGCAUUCUUUGAUCUAUAACUCUCGAAAGCUGACGACAAAUGAGGCAUGAGAUGUUCAUAGCCGAGAUUUGAUAUUUAAAUAAAUGAAAUGUAAAUCACUUAAAUUCAUCCAUUUUUAUUUAAUUUUUUAUUUAUUGAGAGUGGGACCCACCAUUUUCAGCUACACCUUCUCCUAUAAUUUAUAUUUAUAAGAGAAGAAGAAUGUUCUCAUGGAGGAGGGAUGUUUUUUUAAACAAAUAAAUUAUAAUUUACAGAGAGCACCGGAGAGAGCAUGAUUGAUGAGCUCCCGCCUCAAGAUCUUUCCGGCAGGAGAUCUGGGGAUCCCAUCAGUAAAAGCCACUCGUCGUAUCUUCUUGUAUGGUGCAACCUGUGGAAAUAAAUUAGAGGCCUCAAGUGAGUGCAUAUUCCACCUAACUUGAAUAGACAAACCAACUACUCUCAUUUUAUGCAACAUGGGACAAGAUAAAAUUGAUACGUAACAGGGACAUGCAAGCUAGAUCAAACACUUAUAUUAAUAAUAAUAAAAAUAAAAAUCAUAUGUAAUGUGAUUCUCACUUCGCCUUUUUAUUAUUGCGUUUUAAAUAUUUUUACAAGGAAUCCAUUAUUUUUAUAAAGAUUUUAUAUUAAAUAAAAAGAAUUAAUUGAUCAAAAAUUUAAUUUUUAUUUUAUAAGGUAUCAAGUUUUUGUUUAGCAAGAAUUCUUUAAUAGUUAUUUAUUUUGAAUAUUUUUCACAAUCAUGUGCAAUAAAGAGUUAAAAGUAAUUUUAGAUUAUUAUUUUAUUUAUUUUUAUUACUUAUAAAUUUUAUUGUAAUUAGUUUGUGCUUUAUUUAAAUUGGAUGCAUGUUUGACCCACUAGUAUUAAUGUUUUAUUUUCAAGAAUAGAAAUACUCUGUGUAAGAAUAAAAUAUUAAAACUUGAUAAUAUUAUUUUUGCUGAAUUUAUUCAGCUUGUGUGAGAGAGAUUCUCACAUUUUUUAGUUCUCUAAUGAACUAAAUUGAUUUAUCGAAGAUUAAUUGAUUUCAUAGCGUUUUUUUUAACUUCUCGUUUGCAAAUUGAUAUUUGUAGGGUGGAAGUUGUUACUUCAAUAGUAUUGGUGUUUUGAGACAUAUUUUAAUUAUAUCACACUCCUAUUAGACUUAUCUCGUUCCAGGAUUCGUUGCUAUUCUUGUUGUGGGUUGCACGACCACAAGAUUACGAGUUUAUAAUAAUGCAUUUAUUGCCUUAAAAGUACUUGCUUCUUAAAUUAAAACGGGGCUAAAUUAUUGUUUCUAUCAUUUUAUGCAACGAGAGCAAGAUUUUGUGUGGACUUGAUCCAUAGAUCUGCCUUCUAAGUGCAUGCAUCUUAAUAUGAAAGAGGGAAAAAUGAUGAAACUUAAAGCUAGAAGCUUGCCUGUUUUGCAAUGGAAUCCAUGAUUUGAGCCUCAGUAAUAUUGCUUCCUGGUUUCCUCACCACAUAGGCCAUGGGAAUUUGCCCUGCCUCUUCAUCAGGAUACCUGCUCCAAGAUACCAAACCCAAUGAAACGAGUGGAUCUGUAUCUUCAAAAACAAACCAAUUAUGAUGAAACAAACGAAAUUGUGAAGGCAGGCUAUUCACUGCAAUAACAAUGACACUAAAUACACCUUCCAUCUAUCAUUAGCACUUAAAUUAUCGAGCUACAAAUUUUUAUUGCUGGUAUCUCCAUAUCAGUCAAGAAAAGAAAACCUGGACUGAUCCACCAUUACACGCAGUUCAAUGGCCAGAAGAAUCUCAGUUUAAUUCAGAAAUUUCAUCAGUCGAAGUGUUUUUGUGUAAUACCACCACUAGCAAACUAUCCAUUGAUUUCAAAAAGUAAAGUCUCUCAUUGUCAUUCCCAACAGAAGAAUCUCUUUUGCUUCCUCAAUAAACGAGCUAAGAAUAUCUUCUCCCCAGUUCACUAAACUACCAAAAAGCAAAACAAGAUCAAGAAUACCAAACAUGUUGCAUCUCACAUGCUACCUCUCUCUUUCUCUCUCCAUAUGAUUCUUUGCGCAUCGGUUUCUUGUCUAUGCAUCAAUACAACUUAUAUCUCAAAGAAACGAAAAAAAUGAGCUAUGUAUUCAAUCAAAAGAGAGCUUUGGGGAUAUGUUUGUUUGAAAGAGAGAAUAAAUUGUUGUCGGCAACUGCUACAAUGCAGAAACAUAUGACGCGUAAUUAAACAACAUUUCGCAUGCUUAUUAUACCAUCAUGAAGUUCUCAGCACGAGAAGCAGAAGAGACAACUUACGGAAUUACAGCAGCAUCGGCAAUCUCAGGAUUAGACAGCAGCAAUUGUUCCAACUCAACAGGGGGCACCUACAAGUUAUCAAAGAUGUGACAAGACAACAAUAUUUCUAGCAUUAGAAUGAGAUUUACGAUCCUAACAUUUAUUGAAGUCAAUAUUAUACCGGAAAGGGCAUCGGAUAAUUCGAUCACCUGAUAUGCCUUGUACUUUAUCAAUUCCUUCAGCCUAUCAACAAUGUAGAGGAAGCCCUCGGAGUCAAAGAAACAAAGAUCCCCUGUCUUUAACCACCCUUCUGAAUCCAAGGUUUCGGCAGUUGCCUUCUCAUCUCGUACAUAACCUGUACUAAAACCAUCAUUUUUAGCAUCAAGAACAGAAUAUUAGAGAAUUCUACUAGGAAGAAGAUGCAUGCUGAGGUAUUUAUGCGGCCAAACUAAGAUUUUCCACAAUAUAGACUAUUGAUUUCCUAGUCAUGGAACAUUCUUCCCCUUUCAGAUAACCUGCAGCACAUUUCAAUAUUAAUACCCUGAUGCAAAUAUGCAUUGCGAUUUGCCUAGAAGGUAUCUCUGGUCCAUCCCAAACAAUGUCAAAGCAGUUGCAUACAUGGCAGGUGGCUUAAGAAAAACUGAGAAGGGUUGUAUGAAUGCAUGCCAGGUUCCAAUUAAAAAAUCAAACGACAAAGCAGCAAAGAACCAUUAAGGCUAUAUGCAAUGGUACAAGAUGCAUAUUCUUAUUAAUUGAGGCAGAUUCAAAGUAUGUCAGCAAAACGCUGACAUAUUGCUCUUUGUAGUGUAAAACCACAGCGAAACGCUGUACUGUUGGAGUGCAGUCCAGUAUACUGCAGCUCUUUUGUUUUCCACACCAAAAGAAUAACACUUCGAAACACAUUAAAGAAGAAAGUUAACAACCAACAAGUCAAUGUUCACUACCUUUCAUAAUGGAUGGCCCUCGCAACCAAAGCUCCCCUCUCUUGCCAGGACCAAAGGCCUCUCCAGUUAGAGGAUCAACAAUUUUGGCUUCCAUAUUUCCACACAACCGACCAACAGAAGCAUGCCGGUUACAUUCUUCAGGUCCUAUUAUCCUAGAUACAGCUCCAGCCUCCGUUAAUCCAUACCCCUAAAUCUCAAGUAUAAGACACGAUCAUUAAUUACUCAACAACAUUAAUGUUGCUAUACAUUAACUUUGUGAAAAAUGAAAAUCCUGCAUUCAGUUAAAAUUAAGGAAGGAUAAAAAAAGGCUUGCCUGCAUUAUUUCAGCCUGUGGAAAUUUCCUUUUGAAUUUUUCUGCAACCUCCUUGCUCAAUGGCGCGCCACCGCAACUGAACCUCCGCAAUGAACUCAAAUCAUACUUGUUAGUCAAAUCCGAUUUCAGUAAUGUCAGAAUAAUGGUUGGCGACACAGGCAUGUCACUCACUCUAUAUCUCUCUACAACCUUCAACACUUGCUCAAAAUCAAACCUCUCCGUCAAAACCAACGUCUUCCCCCACCGAAAUUCAUUUAUCAACAAAAAGAAGCCAAAAACAUGAAACAAAGGCAGCGUAAGCAACGAAACCGCAUGUGGGUCAAGUUCUGCAGAGCUCUUUUGAAAAGCCGCGAUUGGAGCUAUUACGUUCCUGUGAGUCAAUGACACGCCUUUGACUCUCCCAGUUGUUCCCGAGGAAUAUAGGAUCGCUGCCAUGUCGGAUUGACUCACUUCAACGUGGUUGGUAGCACUGUCUCGUUUGGAGAUUUGAGUCAACAAGGAGAUGAACUCAGGGGAGUCAAUGAGGAUUGUGCCAAGGGGAAAAGAGGGAAGCUUGUGGGCAGUUUGGGAAGUAGCAAAUGCGAUCUUGGGUUUGCUGAGUUGGAUUUGGUGAGUCAGCUCGGAGUUCGAACUUAGGGGGUUGGCAGGAGAGAUGGUGACACCAAGGUAAAGAAGAGAGAGAUAAAUAAUGGGGACGUGGAGAGAGGGCGGGCAGAGGAUAAAAGAGACAUCGUUCUUGUUUAAAUUGUAGAGACUCUUGAGAGAUGAAGAAAGAGAGUAAAUCUGGUUGAUGGCUUCAGAGUAAGUGAGAGAUUGACGUGUGGAAGGCAUGAUAAGGAAGUUUUUUUGGGUGGUUGGGAUGGCAGAGGAGUGGAGGAGAGAAAGGAUGAAUUGGGUUAUGGAGAGAGGUUGAUGCGGUGGUGGUGGAGGAGCAGGUGGUCUAAGACUUUGAAAGGUUUUACUUUCCAAGCAGUAACCACCUUUUGUAAUAUUGAUUGCAUGGGUGGUCAUGGUGGUUUCUUGUGCCGGCACUGACUUUGUGGCCAUAAUUGGAUGAAGACGGUGGCAACGAGAGGGUAGGAAG